This 347-nucleotide unclassified non-coding RNA is filed under the name Hevea brasiliensis (rubber tree). The record is from RNAcentral. Lineage: Eukaryota; Viridiplantae; Streptophyta; Magnoliopsida; Malpighiales; Euphorbiaceae.
CAGCCAGGAAAAGAGCAGUCCAUCCCCAGAGUCCAACAAUAGCCGUUAUUUUUGGAAGACUUGGAGCUGCAAUAACAGAAUUAACAAAGAGGAACAUAAGAAAGAUUAUAAUAGAAAAUAAGAUGGGAGCAUAACCAAUGCCGCCUAUCNNNNNAAAUUUUGUCACCCAAGUGUUUGCUUUGUGCCCGUUGUGCAUUAGAAAGGAAAAGGGCGACAUGCCGAUGACCUUUAUCAGAUGCAAGCUGAACAGGAGUAAAUCCGGCUUUAUCCUUCACUGUCAGCUCCUGCUUUGUGCCAGCAUGUACAAGAACUGUGCACGCCUCUACAUUUCCUCUUAAUGCAGCCCA